UGAUGUUUAGGUUUUAAAUAUAAGAUAUAAAUUUAAUUAUGGUUAUUGGUUUAGUUUACUGGUUUUAUUAAUCCAGGUUUUAUGUUAAAUAUUUUUGGCUGGUUUAGUAAAUUUUAUAUAUUUAGUAAUUUAUUAUUUAGUAAUUAGUUUAUGUUCUAACUAACGGUGUGCCAGCAGUUGCGGUUAUACACUGAGUGCAAGUUAAUUUAUAUUGGGUCGGGGUUGUAGAAUUUAUUUUGAUAGUUUUUUUUAUUUUAGGGUGAAAUCUUAAAUAUUUAUUAAUUAGUUUUUCUUGAAGCCCUGAUAGUUGAUUUUAAACUAGGAUUAGAUACCCUAUUAUUUCAAUGGUUAAUUUAUGCUUUUAAUAUUAUGAGCUAUGUUCUUUAAAGUAAAAUAUUUUGGCGGUGUUUUAGUCUUUUCAGAGGAACCUGUUUCUUGAUUGAUAUUCCACGAUUAUAUGUACUUAAUUUAUUAGUUUGUAUAUCGUCGUUGUUGAAUAUUUUUAUAGAAUAAAUUUUCUGUUUUGUUAUUAAAAUAUAAUUCAGAUCAAGGUGCAAUUUAUAAUUGAGUUUUAAUGGGUUACUAUAGUUUUAUUUUCGGAUUUUGGGUUUUAAAUUUUAAGGAAGGUGGAUUUGAUAGUAAUAAAUUAUUAUUUAUUUUUUGUGGAUUAGCUCUAAAAUAUGUACAUAUUGCCCGUCGCUCUCUUAGUUUGAGAUAAGUCGUAACAUAGUAGAUUUACUGGAAAGUGAUUCUGGAUAGCG
This 761-nucleotide non-coding RNA is filed under the name Bostrichoidea sp. 1 KM-2017. Lineage: Eukaryota; Metazoa; Arthropoda; Insecta; Coleoptera. The record is from RNAcentral.